UCCAGCUCAACUUCCUGAAGCUGGGCUUUGCGAGUAAGAUUUUGAACCUGUGCUCUCAAUUUAAUAACCUCUUGGCUGAGAACUCUCAUUUGUUCUUUUAGCAUCAUCUACAACAAUUUUUGGUGAGGUUAGUCCACCCAGGGUUGGGGUUGGUGUCGUUGAGCGAGGUGGGCUGGGCCUUCUUGAUAUAGGUGAUGUUGCUCGAGAAACAAUACGUGAUCCAGGAACAGAUGCUGAGAAAAAUUUUUUGGAUGAACCAAACAUUGGAUUAAAGGAUUUAGAAAUAUUAAGUGCUCCCCUUUGGGAACCUCCAUUAGGAACUGGUGAAACACGACUACUGUUGAAUUCCAGUUUCUUGUUUCUCUUGGAUCGACUUUCUGCCUGCUUCAAGGAUUCCAUUGAUGAAAACCUAGCAAGUUGUGCACGAAAUCUAGAGUCCAACUUCUCAUCUUUUUCAAUGAACUCAUUAGACCCAUGAUUCACACUACCUCUCCUAUUUACGAAAGACUGAGAUGAAGCAUCAGUUGCAAUGGCUUUCCUUAGUUUAUUAGAGCAAUUAUCACAGACACGAUAAGAUUUAUUAGGAUUCGGUGCCAUGGAAGCCUUAAGGGACUUUUUGCUGCUACAUGAAUGACAAAAAACUAGUCCACAAUGAUAACAAUUGUGUCGUUUUCUUUUGAAAUUAAAUGGAAGGCGGCAGCCAGAACACAUAGACUGAUCAACACCAGAAACCCACUUAUGAAGACAGAUAGCUGCA
RNAcentral lists this unclassified non-coding RNA (757 nucleotides) under Hevea brasiliensis (rubber tree). The record is from RNAcentral. Lineage: Eukaryota; Viridiplantae; Streptophyta; Magnoliopsida; Malpighiales; Euphorbiaceae.